This is a long non-coding RNA of Triticum dicoccoides, 439 nucleotides long. RefSeq lists it as uncharacterized. The record is from RefSeq and is a predicted model, not a curated record. The transcript is spliced from 3 exons. Lineage: Eukaryota; Viridiplantae; Streptophyta; Magnoliopsida; Poales; Poaceae.
ACAGCACGAGGGGGGUUGGACGAACUGCAAGACAAAAAAGCUCAGUUCUACACACAGGCCCAGCCAGAUCCUGUGGGCGAAAGUCGCCGGAGCCAGCGGGUGUUCGCGUGUUGAGGUGCUGGAGUGCUGCUUCUCUGCCGAGGACGCCGUGCUGCACCGGCGCCGCCACAUGUCCGAUUUCUCCUUUGGUGAAUGAAGCCUCGGGUCCAGCAGCCACAUGCGCUACAGAAUACAAGUGUUUGCAGUUUGCUCACCAGAAUGUUGAAUGAGACUACAUCAUUAUUACUCAAAAAAUUAUUUUGUAUUUCUUCAGAAUUGUUCUCCGUAUCCGUGGCAAAGAAUGAUUUUUUUCUGGUUUAAUGCAAUCCUCCUGUGUCAACCCGGCAAUUCGACCCAUGGGCGGCCGCGCCCAUGGACACCCGAUCCGAAUGGGCAGGGU